Molecule: ribosomal RNA, 482 nt
Filed under: uncultured bacterium
Lineage: Bacteria
Description: partial 16S ribosomal RNA
Rfam family: Bacterial small subunit ribosomal RNA
Source: RNAcentral
AUUGAACGCUGGCGGCAUGCUUUACACAUGCAAGUCGAACGGUAACAGGCCGCAAGGUGCUGACGAGUGGCGAACGGGGGAGUAAUGCAUCGGAACGUGCCCAGUCGUGGGGGAUAACUACUCGAAAGAGUAGCUAAUACCGCAUACGAUCUAUGGAUGAAAGCCGGGGACCGUAAGGCCUCGCGCGAUUGGAGCGGCCGAUGUCAGAUUAGGUAGUUGGUGGGGUAAAGGCUCACCAAGCCAACGAUCUGUAGCUGGUCUGAGAGGACGACCAGCCACACUGGGACUGAGACACGGCCCAGACUCCUACGGGAGGCAGCAGUGGGGAAUUUUGGACAAUGGGCGCAAGCCUGAUCCAGCAAUGCCGCGUGCAGGAAGAAGGCCUUCGGGUUGUAAACUGCUUUUGUACGGAACGAAACGGCUCUGGUUAAUACCCGGGGCUAAUGACGGUACCGUAAGAAUAAGCACCGGCUAACUACGUG